CUGCUUAUUAAUAGAAACUGGAAGAUACAGGAAAAUUCCCAGAGAUUUAAGACUAUGUACACAUUGUGAUGUACUAGAUGAUGAGUUUCAUUUCUUUUUUAAAUGUAAAAUAAAUGAACAAUUAAGAAAAGAAUUUUUAAAUGAAAAUAAAUAUAAUAACUUAAAUGAUAUAGAUAAAUUAAAACAUAUUCUCAAUCCUGAAACAAAACAGGACACUUGCAAAUUAGGCUCCUUUUUAAAAAAGUCACUAAGACUGAGGGCAGGGAGUCCUUGAUAUAAUUUGAAUCUCUUAUAUAUAUAUAUAUAUAUUGAUUUAAAAAAAAAGACAAAUUAUAGUUCAAAGUGUGUCCAUUGUUUAUUUUCAUUGUUUUAUGUAAACUGUAUAUUAUGUAUAAUGUUUUAAGCCAUUGGUCCAUAUGGGCGUAAAGUGCUUUUCAUUAAA
RNAcentral lists this long non-coding RNA (442 nucleotides) under Mytilus galloprovincialis (Mediterranean mussel). Lineage: Eukaryota; Metazoa; Mollusca; Bivalvia; Mytilida; Mytilidae. The record is from RNAcentral.